RNAcentral lists this ribosomal RNA (478 nucleotides) under uncultured bacterium. Its description in RNAcentral is "partial 16S ribosomal RNA". It matches the Rfam family "Bacterial small subunit ribosomal RNA", at positions 355 to 819 of the family's 1533-position model. The record is from RNAcentral.
UGGGGAAUUUUGGACAAUGGGCGCAAGCCUGAUCCAGCCAUGCCGCGUGCGGGAAGAAGGCCUUCGGGUUGUAAACCGCUUUUGUCAGGGAAGAAAUCUUCUGAGUUAAUACCUCGGGAGGAUGACGGUACCUGAAGAAUAAGCACCGGCUAACUACGUGCCAGCAGCCGCGGUAAUACGUAGGGUGCAAGCGUUAAUCGGAAUUACUGGGCGUAAAGCGUGCGCAGGCGGUUUUGUAAGACAGAGGUGAAAUCCCCGGGCUCAACCUGGGAACUGCCUUUGUGACUGCAAGGCUUGAGUGCGGCAGAGGGGGGAUGGAAUUCCGCGUGUAGCAGUGAAAAUGCGUAGAUAUGCGGAGGAACACCGAUGGCGAAGGCAAAUCCCCUGGGCCUGCACUGACGCUCAUGCACGAAAAGCGUGGGGAGCAAAACAGGAUUAGAUACCCUGGUAGUCCACGCCCUAAAACGAUGUCAACUGG